CUGGCCAGAGACCGAUAGCGCACAAGUAGAGUGAUCGAAAGAUGAAAAGCACUUUGGAAAGAGAGUCAAAUAGCACGUGAAAUUGUUGAAAGGGAAGCGCUUGCAGCCAGACUUGCCUGUAGUUGCUUAUCCGGACUUUUGUCCGGUGCACUCUUCUGCGGGCAGGCCAGCAUCAGUUUGGGCAGUUGGAUAAAGGUCUCUGUCAUGUACCUCUCUUCGGGGAGGCCUUAUAGGGGAGACGACAUGCAACUAGCCUGGACUGAGGUCCGCGCAUCUGCUAGGAUGCUGGCGUAAUGGCUGUAAGCGGCCCGUCUUGAAACACGGACC
RNAcentral lists this ribosomal RNA (327 nucleotides) under Phoma sp. LC-03-104. RNAcentral describes it as "LSU rRNA". It matches the Rfam family "Eukaryotic large subunit ribosomal RNA", at positions 323 to 667 of the family's 3401-position model. The record is from RNAcentral. Lineage: Eukaryota; Fungi; Ascomycota; Dothideomycetes; Pleosporales; Didymellaceae.